This is a long non-coding RNA of Herpailurus yagouaroundi (jaguarundi), 247 nucleotides long. RefSeq lists it as uncharacterized. The transcript is spliced from 3 exons. NCBI's taxonomy places the organism in Eukaryota, Metazoa, Chordata, Mammalia, Carnivora, Felidae. The record is from RefSeq and is a predicted model, not a curated record.
CCUCAUCAAACCCUGGUUUAUGUUGCUCUGGAGGCCAUCUCUCUCUUCGAGACAGUCUCUGGAGUCUCCCAAAAUAAACCUCUUAUGUGUGGCUUACAUCCUUCUGGAGUCACUGAGGGUGGCAGUGUGGGGAAAAGCAGCAUCUGGUUUUAACCUUCACAGUUUCCUCCCAAGAGGGAAACAGGACCUGUUUUAUGGAAGAAGACCAUAGAGUUAAAGCGCUGUUUUCAUCACAUCAUAUGAAAGG